Molecule: ribosomal RNA, 1396 nt
Filed under: Lactiplantibacillus plantarum
Lineage: Bacteria; Bacillati; Bacillota; Bacilli; Lactobacillales; Lactobacillaceae
Description: bacterial SSU rRNA
Rfam family: Bacterial small subunit ribosomal RNA
Source: RNAcentral
CUCUGGUAUUGAUUGGUGCUUGCAUCAUGAUUUACAUUUGAGUGAGUGGCGAACUGGUGAGUAACACGUGGGAAACCUGCCCAGAAGCGGGGGAUAACACCUGGAAACAGAUGCUAAUACCGCAUAACAACUUGGACCGCAUGGUCCGAGCUUGAAAGAUGGCUUCGGCUAUCACUUUUGGAUGGUCCCGCGGCGUAUUAGCUAGAUGGUGAGGUAACGGCUCACCAUGGCAAUGAUACGUAGCCGACCUGAGAGGGUAAUCGGCCACAUUGGGACUGAGACACGGCCCAAACUCCUACGGGAGGCAGCAGUAGGGAAUCUUCCACAAUGGACGAAAGUCUGAUGGAGCAACGCCGCGUGAGUGAAGAAGGGUUUCGGCUCGUAAAACUCUGUUGUUAAAGAAGAACAUAUCUGAGAGUAACUGUUCAGGUAUUGACGGUAUUUAACCAGAAAGCCACGGCUAACUACGUGCCAGCAGCCGCGGUAAUACGUAGGUGGCAAGCGUUGUCCGGAUUUAUUGGGCGUAAAGCGAGCGCAGGCGGUUUUUUAAGUCUGAUGUGAAAGCCUUCGGCUCAACCGAAGAAGUGCAUCGGAAACUGGGAAACUUGAGUGCAGAAGAGGACAGUGGAACUCCAUGUGUAGCGGUGAAAUGCGUAGAUAUAUGGAAGAACACCAGUGGCGAAGGCGGCUGUCUGGUCUGUAACUGACGCUGAGGCUCGAAAGUAUGGGUAGCAAACAGGAUUAGAUACCCUGGUAGUCCAUACCGUAAACGAUGAAUGCUAAGUGUUGGAGGGUUUCCGCCCUUCAGUGCUGCAGCUAACGCAUUAAGCAUUCCGCCUGGGGAGUACGGCCGCAAGGCUGAAACUCAAAGGAAUUGACGGGGGCCCGCACAAGCGGUGGAGCAUGUGGUUUAAUUCGAAGCUACGCGAAGAACCUUACCAGGUCUUGACAUACUAUGCAAAUCUAAGAGAUUAGACGUUCCCUUCGGGGACAUGGAUACAGGUGGUGCAUGGUUGUCGUCAGCUCGUGUCGUGAGAUGUUGGGUUAAGUCCCGCAACGAGCGCAACCCUUAUUAUCAGUUGCCAGCAUUAAGUUGGGCACUCUGGUGAGACUGCCGGUGACAAACCGGAGGAAGGUGGGGAUGACGUCAAAUCAUCAUGCCCCUUAUGACCUGGGCUACACACGUGCUACAAUGGAUGGUACAACGAGUUGCGAACUCGCGAGAGUAAGCUAAUCUCUUAAAGCCAUUCUCAGUUCGGAUUGUAGGCUGCAACUCGCCUACAUGAAGUCGGAAUCGCUAGUAAUCGCGGAUCAGCAUGCCGCGGUGAAUACGUUCCCGGGCCUUGUACACACCGCCCGUCACACCAUGAGAGUUUGUAACACCCAAAGUCGGUGG